RNAcentral lists this ribosomal RNA (200 nucleotides) under uncultured Lactobacillus sp. RNAcentral's name for it is "partial 16S ribosomal RNA". It matches the Rfam family "Bacterial small subunit ribosomal RNA", at positions 162 to 356 of the family's 1533-position model. Lineage: Bacteria; Bacillati; Bacillota; Bacilli; Lactobacillales; Lactobacillaceae. The record is from RNAcentral.
GCUAAUAACCGGAUAACAACAGAUGAUGCCUAUCAACUGUUUAAAAGAUGGUUCUGCUAUCACUCUUGGAUGGACCUGCGGUGCAUUAGCUAGUUGGUAGGGUAACGGCCUACCAAGGCGAUGAUGCAUAGCCGAGUUGAGAGACUGAUCGGCCACAUUGGACUGAGACACGGCCCAAACUCCUACGGGAGGCAGCAGUG